CAGCAGCCGCGGGAAUACGUAGGUCCCGAGCGUUGUCCGGAUUUAUUGGGCGUAAAGCGAGCGCAGGCGGUUAGAUAAGUCUGAAGUUAAAGGCUGUGGCUUAACCAUAGUACGCUUUGGAAACUGUUUAACUUGAGUGCAAGAGGGGAGAGUGGAAUUCCAUGUGUAGCGGUGAAAUGCGUAGAUAUAUGGAGGAACACCGGUGGCGAAAGCGGCUCUCUGGCUUGUAACUGACGCUGAGGCUCGAAAGCGUGGGGAGCAAACAGGAUUAGAUACCCCCGUAGUCCCUGUCUCUUAUACC
RNAcentral lists this ribosomal RNA (301 nucleotides) under uncultured bacterium. Its description in RNAcentral is "partial 16S ribosomal RNA". It matches the Rfam family "Bacterial small subunit ribosomal RNA", at positions 509 to 808 of the family's 1533-position model. The record is from RNAcentral.